RNAcentral lists this transfer RNA (76 nucleotides) under Burkholderia gladioli. RNAcentral's name for it is "tRNA-Arg". It matches the Rfam family "tRNA". From Rfam's summary of the family: Transfer RNA (tRNA) molecules are approximately 80 nucleotides in length. Their secondary structure includes four short double-helical elements and three loops (D, anti-codon, and T loops). Lineage: Bacteria; Pseudomonadati; Pseudomonadota; Betaproteobacteria; Burkholderiales; Burkholderiaceae. The record is from RNAcentral.
GCGCCCGUAACUCAAUGGAUAGAGUACUGCCCUCCGAAGGCAGAGGUUGCUGGUUCGAUCCCAGCCGGGCGCGCCA